UGGCUCAGUGGUAGAGUGCUUGCCUUGCAUGCAUGAGGCCCUGGGUUCAAUUCUUAG
Molecule: transfer RNA, 57 nt
Filed under: Dipodomys ordii (Ord's kangaroo rat)
Lineage: Eukaryota; Metazoa; Chordata; Mammalia; Rodentia; Heteromyidae
Rfam family: tRNA
About the family: Transfer RNA (tRNA) molecules are approximately 80 nucleotides in length.
Source: Rfam by way of RNAcentral